This 237-nucleotide long non-coding RNA is filed under the name Elaeis guineensis (African oil palm). RNAcentral describes it as "long non-coding RNA (EGUI_LNC074948)". The record is from RNAcentral. Lineage: Eukaryota; Viridiplantae; Streptophyta; Magnoliopsida; Arecales; Arecaceae.
CAGGCCAUAUAAUGCGGGAAGCAAUAAUUAGAUGAAAAUAGAUCCGGACUAAUUUGUAGGUUUAUUUUUAACAGAGCACAGUAAUAAUCAUUUUAAAUUUAGGAUAUGAUUGCAACUAUAUUUUUGCUGAAAAUUCGAGCAUCUCCAUACAAGGCAAAAAAGAAGGCAUGGCAAAGAAUGUUUUGGUGAUUUUUAAUGAAUAGAAUAUAUAUGAAUCCAUCAUGUAAUAUUUUCCCA